AGCGCGGUGGAGCAGUCAGGCAGCUCGCCGGACUCAUAACCCGGAGAUCGUAGGUCCAAAUCCUACCCGCGCAA
This 74-nucleotide transfer RNA is filed under the name Hungatella hominis. RNAcentral describes it as "tRNA-Met". It matches the Rfam family "tRNA". From Rfam's summary of the family: Transfer RNA (tRNA) molecules are approximately 80 nucleotides in length. Their secondary structure includes four short double-helical elements and three loops (D, anti-codon, and T loops). Lineage: Bacteria; Bacillati; Bacillota; Clostridia; Lachnospirales; Lachnospiraceae. The record is from RNAcentral.